This 253-nucleotide ribosomal RNA is filed under the name uncultured bacterium. RNAcentral describes it as "partial 16S ribosomal RNA". It matches the Rfam family "Bacterial small subunit ribosomal RNA", at positions 524 to 776 of the family's 1533-position model. The record is from RNAcentral.
UACGUAGGGAGCAAGCGUUGUCCGGAAUCAUUGGGCGUAAAGCGCGCGUAGGUGGCCUCGUAAGUCCGCUGUGAAAGUCAAAGGCUCAACCUUUGAAAGCCGGUGGAUACUGUGAGGCUAGAGUACGGAAGAGGCGAGUGGAAUUCCUGGUGUAGCGGUGGAAUGCGCAGAUAUCAGGAGGAACACCAAUAGCGAAGGCAGCUCGCUGGGACGUUACUGACACUGAGGAGCGAAAGCGUGGAUAGCGAACAGG